CCUACGGGGGGCAGCAGUGAGGAAUAUUGGUCAAUGGACGAGAGUCUGAACCAGCCAAGUAGCGUGAAGGAUGACUGCCCUAUGGGUUGUAAACUUCUUUUAUAUGGGAAUAAAACAGGGUAUGCAUACCCUCUUGUAUGUACCAUAUGCAUAAGGAUCGGCUAACUCCGUGCCAGCAGCCGCGGUAAUACGGAGGAUCCGAGCGUUAUCCGGAUUUAGUGGGUUUAAGGGGAGCGUAGGUGGAUUGUUAAGUCAGUUGUGAAAGUUUGCGGCUCAACCGUAAAAUUGCAAUUGAUACUGGCAGGCUUGAGUACAGUUGAGGUAGGCGGAAUUCGUGGUGUAGCGGUGAAAUGCUUAGAUAUCACGAAGAAACCCGAUUGCGAAGGCAGCUUACUAAACUGUGACUGACAUUGAUGCUCGAAAGUGUGGGUAUCAAACAGGAUUAGAUACCCUUGUAGUC
Molecule: ribosomal RNA, 460 nt
Filed under: uncultured bacterium
Lineage: Bacteria
Description: partial 16S ribosomal RNA
Rfam family: Bacterial small subunit ribosomal RNA
Source: RNAcentral